This 397-nucleotide ribosomal RNA is filed under the name uncultured bacterium. RNAcentral's name for it is "partial 16S ribosomal RNA". It matches the Rfam family "Bacterial small subunit ribosomal RNA", at positions 523 to 918 of the family's 1533-position model. The record is from RNAcentral.
AUACGUAGGUGACAAGCGUUAUCCGGAUUUACUGGGCGUAAAGGGCGUGUAGGCGGUCUUGCAAGUCAGAAGUGAAAUUCCUGAGCUCAACUCGGGCGCUGCUUCUGAAACUGCAGGACUUGAGUGCUGGAGGGGAUAGCGGAAUUCCUAGUGGAGCGGUAAAAUGCGCAGAUAUUAGGAAGAACACCGGUGGCGAAGGCGGCAAUCUGAACAGAAACUGACGCUGAGGCGCGAAAGCGUGUGGAGCAAACAGGAUUAGAUACCCUGGUAGGCCACGCCGUAAACGAUGAAUACUAGGUGUAUGGGGUAUCGACUCCCUCUGUGCCGCAGUUAACACAAUAAGUAUUCCGCCUGGGGAGUACGGCCGCAAGGUUGAAACUCAAAGGAAUUGACGGGG